UAACGAGAAGGAAAGGAAAGGGUGUA
Molecule: non-coding RNA, 26 nt
Filed under: Homo sapiens (human)
Lineage: Eukaryota; Metazoa; Chordata; Mammalia; Primates; Hominidae
Source: RNAcentral